Molecule: ribosomal RNA, 466 nt
Filed under: uncultured bacterium
Lineage: Bacteria
Description: partial 16S ribosomal RNA
Rfam family: Bacterial small subunit ribosomal RNA
Source: RNAcentral
GACGAACGCUGGCGGCGUGCUUAACACAUGCAAGUCGAACGGAAAGGCCCUGCUUUUGUGGGGUGCUCGAGUGGCGAACGGGUGAGUAACACGUGAGUAACCUGCCCUUGACUUUGGGAUAACUUCAGGAAACUGGGGCUAAUACCGGAUAGGAGCUCCUGCUGCAUGGUGGGGGUUGGAAAGUUUCGGCGGUUGGGGAUGGACUCGCGGCUUAUCAGCUUGUUGGUGGGGUAGUGGCUUACCAAGGCUUUGACGGGUAGCCGGCCUGAGAGGGUGACCGGCCACAUUGGGACUGAGAUACGGCCCAGACUCCUACGGGAGGCAGCAGUGGGGAAUAUUGCACAAUGGGCGGAAGCCUGAUGCAGCAACGCCGCGUGCGGGAUGACGGCCUUCGGGUUGUAAACCGCUUUCGCCUGUGACGAAGCGUGAGUGACGGUAAUGGGGAAAGAAGCACCGGCGAACUACG